Molecule: ribosomal RNA, 1068 nt
Filed under: Escherichia coli
Lineage: Bacteria; Pseudomonadati; Pseudomonadota; Gammaproteobacteria; Enterobacterales; Enterobacteriaceae
Description: partial 23S ribosomal RNA
Rfam family: Bacterial large subunit ribosomal RNA
Source: RNAcentral
CACACUAUCAUUAACUGAAUCCAUAGGUUAAUGAGGCGAACCGGGGGAACUGAAACAUCUAAGUACCCCGAGGAAAAGAAAUCAACCGAGAUUCCCCCAGUAGCGGCGAGCGAACGGGGAGCAGCCCAGAGCCUGAAUCAGUGUGUGUGUUAGUGGAAGCGUCUGGAAAGGCGCGCGAUACAGGGUGACAGCCCCGUACACAAAAAUGCACAUGCUGUGAGCUCGAUGAGUAGGGCGGGACACGUGGUAUCCUGUCUGAAUAUGGGGGGACCAUCCUCCAAGGCUAAAUACUCCUGACUGACCGAUAGUGAACCAGUACCGUGAGGGAAAGGCGAAAAGAACCCCGGCGAGGGGAGUGAAAAAGAACCUGAAACCGUGUACGUACAAGCAGUGGGAGCACGCUUAGGCGUGUGACUGCGUACCUUUUGUAUAAUGGGUCAGCGACUUAUAUUCUGUAGCAAGGUUAACCGAAUAGGGGAGCCGAAGGGAAACCGAGUCUUAACUGGGCGUUAAGUUGCAGGGUAUAGACCCGAAACCCGGUGAUCUAGCCAUGGGCAGGUUGAAGGUUGGGUAACACUAACUGGAGGACCGAACCGACUAAUGUUGAAAAAUUAGCGGAUGACUUGUGGCUGGGGGUGAAAGGCCAAUCAAACCGGGAGAUAGCUGGUUCUCCCCGAAAGCUAUUUAGGUAGCGCCUCGUGAAUUCAUCUCCGGGGGUAGAGCACUGUUUCGGCAAGGGGGUCAUCCCGACUUACCAACCCGAUGCAAACUGCGAAUACCGGAGAAUGUUAUCACGGGAGACACACGGCGGGUGCUAACGUCCGUCGUGAAGAGGGAAACAACCCAGACCGCCAGCUAAGGUCCCAAAGUCAUGGUUAAGUGGGAAACGAUGUGGGAAGGCCCAGACAGCCAGGAUGUUGGCUUAGAAGCAGCCAUCAUUUAAAGAAAGCGUAAUAGCUCACUGGUCGAGUCGGCCUGCGCGGAAGAUGUAACGGGGCUAAACCAUGCACCGAAGCUGCGGCAGCGACGCUGAUGCGUUGUUGGGUAGGGGAGCGUUCUGUAAGCCUG